GGCAGCAUGGUCUUAGCUUGCUAAGGCCGAUGGCGACCGGCGCACGGGUGAGUAACACGUAUCCAACCUGCCGUCUACUCUUGGACAGCCUUCUGAAAGGAAGAUUAAUACAAGAUGGCAUCAUGAGUCCGCAUGUUCACAUGAUUAAAGGUAUUCCGGUAGACGAUGGGGAUGCGUUCCAUUAGAUAGUAGGCGGGGUAACGGCCCACCUAGUCUUCGAUGGAUAGGGGUUCUGAGAGGAAGGUCCCCCACAUUGGAACUGAGACACGGUCCAAACUCCUACGGGAGGCAGCAGUGAGGAAUAUUGGUCAAUGGGCGAGAGCCUGAACCAGCCAAGUAGCGUGAAGGAUGACUGCCCUAUGGGUUGUAAACUUCUUUUAUAAAGGAAUAAAGUCGGGUAUGGAUACCCGUUUGCAUGUACUUUAUGAAUAAGGAUCGG
This 439-nucleotide ribosomal RNA is filed under the name uncultured bacterium. RNAcentral describes it as "bacterial SSU rRNA". It matches the Rfam family "Bacterial small subunit ribosomal RNA", at positions 68 to 496 of the family's 1533-position model. The record is from RNAcentral.